RNAcentral lists this long non-coding RNA (638 nucleotides) under Homo sapiens (human). RNAcentral's name for it is "non-protein coding lnc-MFSD8-7:3". The record is from RNAcentral. Lineage: Eukaryota; Metazoa; Chordata; Mammalia; Primates; Hominidae.
GCGGCGACGGCGGCCAAGGGCCUGGGCGGGCCGCGCACAUGGCGCUGGGAGGACCGAGCGCUCGAUUUGCCCUUAGGCCCUAAAGCUGGGUCGCAGCUAGGCUAAGGGAGGGGACGCGGUGUCGACCCCCGGCCUGGGGCAGCUCCCAAGUGAAGUGGGCUCCGCGGCCCGGCCGCUUGGCCCGCUGGCGCCCGGCGCCUCCCCCAGGUGAAAGUUGCCUCCUGGCGCCUCGGGGCACCGCGAUCACCUGUAAUCUUGAGCCACGUCCCAGAUGAAGGGGGAGUUACCUCUCGGUAACUGUUUAGGAAACCUUUGCCCCAGCGUUCGGCUUAGUGCGCUUCCCCGCCCGCAUUCCCACCCACCAACUAAAAGAGUUCUAAAGCGUUCCUGAGUAAAUUAAAUAGUAUUUCGCCGGCUUUUAAAAUUUUUUGUUACCUGUUUCUUUAAUUUGGGUAAAUAGCACUUAAUUACAAAUUAACCAUAUUCCCAAUAGGUUUUUUCUUCCUGGAAUGGAUGUUAAAAUGGUACAAAGACGUUUUGAUAAUAAAUCGGAUACGAGCUUUCUACUUGGCACUCACAUUCACUUAGAGAUGAUACUCGUUUCAUUUUUGAGUCAGUGUUUGUGUCCUGGUGCAAGG